This 465-nucleotide long non-coding RNA is filed under the name Mus spicilegus (steppe mouse). RNAcentral's name for it is "lncRNA (ENSMSIG00000005621.1)". The record is from RNAcentral. Lineage: Eukaryota; Metazoa; Chordata; Mammalia; Rodentia; Muridae.
GGCGGAGCCGGGCUGGGGCGCGCACGGGGCGGGAACAGCCGGGGCGGGGCAGCCGCGGAGCCUGGCUGGGGCGCGCACGGGGCGGCGCUCGGGCUGCGCGGGCUCUCGGCGGUGGAGGCGGCGGCGGCAGCAGCAUCCUCUCUACCUCCGCUUCCCUACGGCCUCUUUCUCCUUCCUGUCCUUUCCCUCGUUUCUUCGGUCGCCGGGUCUCCCCGGCUCCUCCCACGGAGGAGCUCUAGCUCUGCGAGUAAGCUGUGACCGCGGGUGCGUCCUCUUUCCGCGCCCAGCCACCCUCUGAAACACUGCUGCCUGCUCUAAUGAAUGGUGGAGGCUGGAAUACAUAGAAGGCAAGUAUACUUACCUGGCCUCUGGCCAACAUGGGGAGCUUCAUACCCACUGAUGGCCCUGUCAGGUUCAGCAGUCAAACUGUAAUCUAUACCUUUAAGGAUCAUGAUACAUGAGAAG